UAAUAGCUCGGAUAUUUAUUCUUUUUCUUUUCACAGUUUAAAGAUAUAUGUAAAGGAAAAAUCGAAUUUUAUUUCUUGAUUAAGAGAAUAAAAGGUGUUUUUGGAGCAAUAGGAACUUAAUGCCACGUAGAUGUGACGCGUAUUAUGCCUUUUGAUUCGUUAAGGUUUCUUUUAAAGCAUCUCCAAAAAAAACAUUUUAUAACUUCAAAUACGAAGUUUUUUGCUUUUCAAAAAGGAAUUUCAAAACUUUGAAGUUUUGAGAAGUGAAACUCUAUAUUUGAAAUUUCAUAUUUUUAU
RNAcentral lists this long non-coding RNA (297 nucleotides) under Brassica napus (rape). Its description in RNAcentral is "long non-coding RNA (BNAP_LNC022273)". Lineage: Eukaryota; Viridiplantae; Streptophyta; Magnoliopsida; Brassicales; Brassicaceae. The record is from RNAcentral.